RNAcentral lists this ribosomal RNA (440 nucleotides) under uncultured bacterium. RNAcentral describes it as "partial 16S ribosomal RNA". It matches the Rfam family "Bacterial small subunit ribosomal RNA", at positions 338 to 795 of the family's 1533-position model. The record is from RNAcentral.
CCUACGGGAGGCAGCAGUGGGGGAUAUUGCACAAUGGGGGAAACCCUGAUGCAGCGACGCCGCGUGUGGGAAGACGGUCCUCUGGAUUGUAAACCACUGUCCCCAGGGGCGAAGAUGACGGUACCUGGGGCUGAAGCUCCGGCAAACUACGUGCCAGCAGCCGCGGUAAUCCGUAGGGCGCGAGCGUUGUCCGGAAUUACUGGGUGAAAAGGGAGCGUAGGCGGGGAUGCAAGUUGGGUGGCAAAACUACCGGCUCAACUGGUAGUCGCACUCAAAACUGCAGCUCUUGAGUGAAGUAGAGGCAGGCGGAAUUCCUAGUGUAGCGGUGAAAUGCGUAGAUAUUAGGAGGAACACCAGUGGCGAAGGCGGCCUGCUGGGCUUUUACUGACGCUGAGGCUCGAAAGUGUGGGGAGCAAACAGGAUUAGAUACCCGGGUAGUC